UGGGGAAUAUUGCACAAUGGGCGCAAGCCUGAUGCAGCCAUGCCGCGUGUGUGAAGAAGGCCUUCGGGUUGUAAAGCACUUUCAGCGGGGAGGAAGGCGAUAAGGUUAAUAACCUUGUCGAUUGACGUUACCCGCAGAAGAAGCACCGGCUAACUCCGUGCCAGCAGCCGCGGUAAUACGGAGGGUGCAAGCGUUAAUCGGAAUUACUGGGCGUAAAGCGCACGCAGGCGGUUUGUUAAGUCAGAUGUGAAAUCCCCGGGCUCAACCUGGGAACUGCAUCUGAUACUGGCAAGCUUGAGUCUCGUAGAGGGGGGUAGAAUUCCAGGUGUAGCGGUGAAAUGCGUAGAGAUCUGGAGGAAUACCGGUGGCGAAGGCGGCCCCCUGGACGAAGACUGACGCUCAGGUGCGAAAGCGUGGGGAGCAAACAGGA
RNAcentral lists this ribosomal RNA (430 nucleotides) under Chloroflexota bacterium. Its description in RNAcentral is "Chloroflexi bacterium partial 16S ribosomal RNA". It matches the Rfam family "Bacterial small subunit ribosomal RNA", at positions 355 to 777 of the family's 1533-position model. The record is from RNAcentral. Lineage: Bacteria; Bacillati; Chloroflexota.